This 1465-nucleotide long non-coding RNA is filed under the name Sus scrofa (pig). RNAcentral describes it as "lncRNA (ENSSSCG00015018298.1)". Lineage: Eukaryota; Metazoa; Chordata; Mammalia; Artiodactyla; Suidae. The record is from RNAcentral.
ACUCUAGCCCCCAGUGCUUCUCCCCGUCCUGGCUCUUAAUUGCUGUUAUUUUGCCGAGUGAAAUAUUGAUGACAUUGGGCGAAAAGAUUGACAGCAGCAUGAAUUGUUAUUAACCAGACUGUUGGUUGCAGCUUACAUUUCAAUACAUUCUCGGGGAUGAAGCAGAAGCCCUCGGGGACUCUUUCACUCGUUUCUCCCCCACGUAGGCGGGAAUUAACCCUUGCCUAACUUUCUUUGUGGCCAUCCUUUAUUUUCUUUUUCCUCUGAGCAGUUAUUGAUUUCUAUCUUGAAAAGAAAAGGACUCAUUAUUCAUCAAGGUGGAGGUUGGAAAUUAUCCUGAAAGCUUGAAAUAACCAAGGAUGCAGCAGUUCUUCGAGAAGCAAGGGCAGGGAGGAUGGGUCGACCUUGGAAAGACAAAAAAGCAGCGGAUCAGAAAGAAAAACUAUGUUGGGGAGUUCCUGUUGCGGCUCAGUGGGUUAAGAACCCAGCAUAGUCUCCAUGAGGACGCAGGUUCCAUCCUGGCCUCGCUUGGUGGGUUCAGGAUCCGGUAUUGCUGUGAGCUGUGGUGUAGGUCGCAGAUGCGGCUCGGAUCUGGCAUUGCUGUGGCUGUGGGGUAGGCCGGUAGCUGAGCUCUGAUUCGACCCCUAGCCCAGGAACCUCCCUGUGCCUCGGGUGCGGCCCUGACAACACCAGAGAAGACUUGGAGCAGAGGAGAGACAGGUACGUCCUCUUCCCAUCCCAGCAGACGCGCUCAGCCUUCAGACAUCAGUCGUGUGGCCGCAGCCUUUUGGGAAACAUUCAUCUUUUGUACCUUUGUGCAGCCAGUGAAACCUAACUACCGCAGCUGCUUCUGGAAGAUCUCGGCCUCCACGGCUCCUCCAAAAAGUUGACCCGCACGUGGCCCUUCGUAUGGGUGACUUGCCUCUGUGUGAGCGUUACUGGUAUUGUCAUUUACAAUCAAUACUGCGCGUUGCGCAGCAACAGGGCAGUGAAAGAGGGAAACCACACAUCCCAGAGGUGAAAGAGAAAUAACUCCACUAAGAGUUCUGAUCUUUUCUUGGCCUCUAUCUCAAAUCUUUGAAAAUACUAGAGACCGAAUCUUCUCAAAAGUAGGUAUUUCCAAGUCAAAUCAAUCACCAACGUCAAUUUUUUAAGUCACGUGGGGACUUGGAAAGCUGCCCACUUUCUCAUCAACAGUCACAUUAGCGAGCUUUAGUUCAGUGACCCUCGGUGUAGGGGACAUUUGGCGUGGUUACCACAAUCAGCUGUGCGAUAUCACCUCAAAACGGGGAGCUCCCUGGUGGCACAGGGGGUUAAGGAUCCAGUACUGUCACCGCAGCGGCUGAUUCUUUUGCUUGGAGUUUCUGACCACCUGUAUUGUAUUGAGUGAAUAAUCCUAUACUAGGUACCUUUUAAUCUUGAAUGAAUACAGUUUUGCUCAAUGUGUAAAAAGUAAAAAAAAAAA